RNAcentral lists this ribosomal RNA (445 nucleotides) under uncultured bacterium. RNAcentral describes it as "partial 16S ribosomal RNA". It matches the Rfam family "Bacterial small subunit ribosomal RNA", at positions 354 to 796 of the family's 1533-position model. The record is from RNAcentral.
GUAGGGAAUAUUGGGCAAUGGAUGCAAGUCUGACCCAGCCAUCCCGCGUGCCGGAAGAAGGCCCUCAGGGUUGUAAACGGCUUUUGACGGUGAAGAAUCGACAGGAUGCGUCCUGUUUUGACGGUAGCCGUUGAAUAAGCACCGGCUAACUCCGUGCCAGCAGCCGCGGUAAUACGGAGGGUGCGAGCGUUGUCCGGAUUUAUUGGGUUUAAAGGGUGCGUAGGCUGGAAGGUCAGUCAGCGGUGAAAAGCUGUCGCUUAACGAUAGUCUUGCCGCAGAUACUUCCUUUCUUGGAUGAGGAGGAGGCCACUGGAACGGAUGGUGUAGCGGUGAAAUGCAUAGAUAUCAUCCAGAACACCGAUUGAGAAGGCAGGUGGCUGUACCUUAAUCGACGCUGAUGCACGAAAGCAUGGGGAGCAAACAGGAUUAGAUACCCUUGUAGUCC